Molecule: ribosomal RNA, 459 nt
Filed under: uncultured bacterium
Lineage: Bacteria
Description: partial 16S ribosomal RNA
Rfam family: Bacterial small subunit ribosomal RNA
Source: RNAcentral
CCUACGGGUGGCAGCAGUGAGGAAUAUUGGUCAAUGGGAGAGAUCCUGAACCAGCCAAGCCGCGUGAGGGAAGACGGCCCUAUGGGUUGUAAACCUCUUUUGUCGGAGAACAAAACACGGGACGUGUCCCGGACUGCGUGUAUACGAAGAAAAAGCAUCGGCUAACUCCGUGACAGCAGCCGCGGUAAUACGGAGGAUGCGAGCGUUAUCCGGAUUUAUUGGGUUUAAAGGGUGCGUAGGCGGUCCGUUAAGUCAGCGGGAAAAUUGCGGGGCUCAACCCCGUCGAGCCGUUGAAACUGGCAGACUUGAGUUGGCGAGAAGUACGCGGAAUGUGCGGUGUAGCGGUGAAAUGCAUAGAUAUCGCGCAGAACUCCGAUUGCGAAGGCAGCGUACCGGCGCCAGACUGACGCUGAGGCACGAAAGCGUGGGGAUCGAACAGGAUUAGAUACCCCGGUAGUC